UCCGAGUCUCGCUACAGCUGUCAGUGUCA
This 29-nucleotide non-coding RNA is filed under the name Mus musculus (house mouse). Lineage: Eukaryota; Metazoa; Chordata; Mammalia; Rodentia; Muridae. The record is from RNAcentral.